CCUACGGGAGGCAGCAGUGAGGAAUAUUGGUCAAUGGACGAGAGUCUGAACCAGCCAAGUCGCGUGAAGGAUGACUGCUCUAUGGGUUGUAAACCUCUUUUAUAUGGGAAUAAAAGAGGGUAUGCAUACCCUCUGGUAUGUCCCAUAUGAAUAAGGACCGGCUAAUUCCGUGCCAGCAGCCGCGGUAUUACGGAGGAACCGAGCGUUACCCGGAAUUAUUGGGUUUAAAGGGAGCGUAGGUGGAUUGUUAAGUCAGUUGUGAAAGUUUGCGGCUCAACCGUAGAAUUGCAGUUGAAACUGGCAGUCUUGAGUACAGUAGAGGUAGGCGGAAUUCGUGGUGUAGCGGUGAAAUGCUUAGAUAUCACGAAGAACUCCGAUUGCGAAGGCAGCUCACUGGACUGCAACUGACGCUGAUGCUCGAAAGUGUGGGUAUCAAACAGGAUUAGAUACCCUUGUAGUC
RNAcentral lists this ribosomal RNA (460 nucleotides) under uncultured bacterium. RNAcentral describes it as "partial 16S ribosomal RNA". It matches the Rfam family "Bacterial small subunit ribosomal RNA", at positions 338 to 795 of the family's 1533-position model. The record is from RNAcentral.